This is a long non-coding RNA of Rana temporaria (common frog), 812 nucleotides long. RefSeq lists it as uncharacterized. NCBI's taxonomy places the organism in Eukaryota, Metazoa, Chordata, Amphibia, Anura, Ranidae. The record is from RefSeq and is a predicted model, not a curated record. The transcript has 3 exons.
UGACGCUGGGCGGGACACAUUGGUUCAGCUGGGAGCAUUUAAAUUCCCCUCACUUGGUGUCUAGCUGUCUCUCUGGCAACACCUUCAUAUGCAAGCUCUCACUUAUGUUUGGCUCCUUUCUUCCAUGUUAUCUAACAAGAAGUGUCGGCCCAUUGCCUUUCGCAUUCACACAUUGGGGAAUCCACAAUGCUUGCUGUCUGUCCAUGUGUCCCUACCUCAGCUCCCAUGCCGGACAAUUUUAACGGCCUUGGUCCUGCACUCACAUCUAUACAGUUGACAUCACCAUUGCAUUCGCCCCUGAAGAGUUGGUAUAUCCCAACGAAACGCGUCGGGAAUAUAUAGAUGCAUGAUGUUGAUACAGAUGAUUUUAUGUUUUGUAUAGUGUUUUACUCUUAGAUUCUCAUCAUACUAUCAAGCACCUCCAGUGGUUCAUGUUGUGCAGGACUUGUUUUUAUUUCACGAUAUGCCAAGUAUCAUGAUGUCACGCAUAUGUAAUUUGCAACAUGUUCGAUUUUGUGGAUGCAAUUUUUGUCAUUCAGUAUGCUUGAUAUUAUAUCACAAGGCAUAAUAAAAAAUGCUCCUUGCUAAGACUGCUCAUACACUUCUCAUUGCAAGUCCUCAACCAACUCCCCCUUUUUGUGUUGGAACCCAAUUAAGCAAUACCAUAUACCUUACAUGCUCACGCCGCAUGGUGAUUGGCCUCAUUUAAAGUCCCACUGACCAAACUUUCUUUUUUUCUGCACUUUAAAUAUAUAUCACACAUUCUCUUCAGUCCCUGACCUCAAGAAGCUUACAAUCUAAGGUCACUAACU